Molecule: ribosomal RNA, 179 nt
Filed under: uncultured bacterium
Lineage: Bacteria
Description: partial 16S ribosomal RNA
Rfam family: Bacterial small subunit ribosomal RNA
Source: RNAcentral
GACUCCAUGAAGCUGGAUUCGCUAGUAAUCGCGCAUCAGCCACGGCGCGGUGAAUACGUUCCCGGGCCUUGUACACACCGCCCGUCAAGCCAUGGAAGCCGGGAGUGCCUGAAGUGCGUGAGCGCAAGCAGCGCCCUAAGGUAAAACCGGUGACUGGGGCUAAGUCGUAACAAGGUAUC